AUCCCUUCUCGGUCUUUUGGCUAAGAUCAAGCAUAGUAUCUGUUCUUAUCAGCUCACAGAAGUCCUCUUCACUCUACAUAAACACUCCAGCUCCUUCAACUGCUCCCAGAAUGAGAUGAAUCAUCUUGCUCACAUUCAUGUGCUACUGAACACAC
Small nuclear RNA from Heterocephalus glaber (naked mole-rat), 155 nucleotides. Its record names the gene U2. It matches the Rfam family "U2 spliceosomal RNA". From Rfam's summary of the family: U2 is a small nuclear RNA (snRNA) component of the spliceosome (involved in pre-mRNA splicing). Complementary binding between U2 snRNA (in an area lying towards the 5' end but 3' to hairpin I) and the branchpoint sequence (BPS) of the intron results the bulging out of an unpaired adenosine, on the BPS, which initiates a nucleophilic attack at the intronic 5' splice site, thus starting the first of two transesterification reactions that mediate splicing. NCBI's taxonomy places the organism in Eukaryota, Metazoa, Chordata, Mammalia, Rodentia, Bathyergidae. The record is from Ensembl.